CUUGACCGCCAUGUUUGAAGCGGGCGGAAAAAAAUUACGGGGCGUGCAGUGUCACGUGACUGCUCGGAUUUUUUUUUUUUUUUUUUUUUUUUUUUUUUUUUUUUUUUUUUGUCACGUUGUCUGUGGAUCCUUUCUUAUUUCUGUGUUGAAUUCCAGCCUGGGUAUUCGGAACCUAUGGUUACAGCUGGGGCUACGAGAUGAUGUCUCACAAUGUUGCCCAGGCUGGUCUUGAACUCCUGGACUCAAGUGAUCCUCCCACCUUGGCCUCCCAAUGUACCAGGAUUACAGCUGACCCUUGAACAACACGAGUUUGAACUGCCUGGGAUCACUUAUCCCUGGAUUUUCUUCCACCUCUGCCGCCCCUGAAACAGCAAGACCAAACCCUCCUCUUCCUCCUCUUCCUCAGCCUACUCAACCUGAAGACGACGAGGAUGAAGACCCUCAUGAAGAUCCACUUUCACUUCAUGAACAUAUGGAGUGCUAAACGUUCACUUUGAGGACCUCUGCUCUACUCCAACCUCAAGGAGCCUCCACUGCCAUGGCCUUGCUGCUGCCCUUGGCUCUUGGCCCCCUUGGCCCAGCAGCCUUGUUGGCAUCUUGUUGGCAGCACACCAGAGUGGACAGAACCAAGGACUGAACCCCAAUCAAUAGAAGUGUAUGUGGCUGUGGCCUACCCCAGGACACCCGGCCCAGGUGCCUGAGACCAGCCACAACCUCUGGCCUGAGGGCACCUUUUCCAAUGCAUACCAUGGUACCUCAUGGGCUACCGACGGCCCUACGGCACCUGGCACAGAAACAAGAAGCAAAACAAAGCAAAUAUAAAUAUGUGCUCUGCCAAUCGGGCUCCUCUGUCAGACUUAAACCAAGAGUGUGGCAGGGAGCUCCCACAUGUCAAGAAAUCUGCAGAAAGACAGAGUGGACUCGGGGUUGAAGGGCCAGCAAUGGCCACGCACAAACCUGCAACCAUGAGCAGGAACUCUGACCAAAGGAAAUGGCAGCCGGACGAGGGGCAGAGAUAAUCAUCUGGGUACCCCAGUCCAGAGCCGUAGGAAUAGCUACCUCUGGUCCUUCAGGACCAGCUGUAUGCCCAGCCAGGUUCCCAGGAGGCCGUGGCAGCCCAGCACCAGCCCACUCCUCACCUGGGCCCCACCACGGACUCACUUGGCACAGUACAGAAAAUGGUCCUUCCAGUCGACUUGGGAGGUCUGCCCCAUCAGUGUC
Symphalangus syndactylus (siamang) is the source of this 1221-nucleotide long non-coding RNA. RefSeq lists it as uncharacterized. Lineage: Eukaryota; Metazoa; Chordata; Mammalia; Primates; Hylobatidae. The record is from RefSeq and is a predicted model, not a curated record.